UGGAGUUCAGGUUCUUUAUGUCUCAGUGCAGAAGGAAUUUAGCAAGAGGCAAAGUGAUAGGUAAGAAGCAGAUUUGUUGAGAGAUAAGACAAAGUGUGGUCAGUCUCAAAAGGCAAGAUAGUGGCCCUGGGAGAAACACACACCACAGACAGAGGUGGGCCAUUUCAUAAGGCUUACAGGGAUGAAAAUCUGUUAGAUGACAUGCAACCUGCCCUUUCAAUACUCCUCAAGGACUCUGGGGAUUUCCAGCCAUCUGGAAUUUGCUGUCAUGCUGUGAUUUCUGCAGAGUUUAUACAUCAUUGCCAUGUUUUGGGGAAAGAAAGAGUUCUUGAAAUGAGAAGAUACUCGAUCAUCUUCACUUCCGGGCUAAUCAUUCUUCCACUAAACCUUCUUCAGUUGUGAGAUACAACACUAGAGUGUUAUAUUCCUGGGACAUUCUCCUUUCAAGAGAAAGGCAUACAUCUGCAUUUUUUUGUGGUUGUUUUUAGGGCUGCACCCAUAGCAUACAGAAGUUCCCAGGCUAGGAGACGAAUGGGAGCUGUAAACACUGGCCUACACCACGGCCACAGCAAUGAAGGAUCCGAGCUGCAUCUGUGACCUACACAACAGCUCACAGCAAUGCCAGAUCCUCAACCCACAGAGUGAGGCCAGGAGUUGAACCCUCAUCCUCAUGGAUCCUAGUUGGUUUCAUUAACCAUUGAGUCAUGAAGGGAACUCCCAACGUCUGCACUUUUAAUGUGACUCAAUGGUUAGGUUGGGUUUUUUCUUCUGUGUGUCUCCAGGGUUAGAUGGAAGGGCUUCCCUCCUUCCUCUAACUUUGCUUUUGCUAUGAGGCUCAGACAUUUAUUUUCUGACAUCUUCUCUAGAUUGUUUUUCUUUUGCGUUCACUCUGAGUAAGAAAUAUGAGUUCAGUCACUGCUAAGUGAGGAAAACAUAGCUGCUGUUCAAAAUUAAUCUUGUCUUCAUUUUACUUCCCUGGGUUGUACAAUAGCACUCAGGAGGUGUUUCUAAUGAGGCUAACGAGAAAUCCAAGCAACUGUUCAAUCUAUCAUGGCCCUGCCAAAUAUUUCGAUAUAUCUUAUACUCCAUAUUCAAUGUAUAUCACUUUCCUUAAAAUUCUGUUUUUAAAAUUUAUACUGUGUGCUCCCUGGGGACCCAGGCAAUACCUGCAACUCUAACCACAGUAAUGGUGUUGUGUGAAACAUAACAAAAAGUGAAAGUAGUUGAAUACUUUUCUUUGAUAUCCCUAUUUUUGGCUACUUAAAUAUUUGUCCGUCUUUUACGAAACCACUUUGCAAAUUUGUUUUCUGUUCAAGGGCUUGUUCCCCAAUCACCCUCAUUACAGACUCUGUGCAUUAACAAUAUGACUGCAAACACCUUAUUGGAUCUGUGAUCCCCCUGGACAAAUCACUUCAUCCUCUCUUUAUUUUUCUUUAGGAAAUGAUUACUGUCCUAGCUCCAGUAAUAUUGAAAACAUUCUUUUGAAAUUUUCUCUUCAAAAGAAACUAGGCUCAGGCUGAUUUCUUUGUCUCUUCCUAUAGUUUUAUAAGCUCGCUAACAUCUCCUAAGGAGUUUGCUCUCUUCUUCCAGUUUAACAAGCUUGUUUUCUUUUAUAAUUCUUUUAUACUGUUUCACACUUCUCCCAUUUUGCACAUAAAAUGAAAGAAGCAUGUCUUGAAAGCAAAUUCAAUUAUUCUUUGAUUUCUUAAUGAAAAUCUGCUUUGUGGAAAGGAGGUCUACCAGGCACAUAUGUUUCAAAUUCUCUUAUAGCUUUGGUUUGUAAUAACUGCAAGACUUUUUCUUAUUUCUUUACUGUAUUCAAGAAGAUGGCAUGUUCUCUUCAUAAUUAGGACUCCUCUUCUUUUCUCAUGUUUUCAUUUUUUAAACUCUACCAUUGUAAGUGGUAGUCACUUCUAUGUCUCUGAAAUCUAAACUCAAGGGUAAAGUUUAACUGAUUAAUACACUGAGAGCCAACUGAGCUCCAUGUGAUAGACAGCAAAUAUUUAGUCAUGGACCAGCUACGUGAAUCGCACACUUCAGCCCACAGAGUUUAAUUUCCUUACUUGGCUGUGAAUGGAAUAAAAACAGAAAAAAAAAAAGUUAAAUUUAGACAAUGAACCUAAUGCCUCUUAUUAAUCAUAGCACCUUUUAUUUAGAGGCAUGGGCAUUACUAACUCUUAGCACUUUCUAUUUCAAGGCAUAAAUCCAUGCAGAAUUCAGGGUGUCUAGAGUCCUGGCCUUCUACCUGGCUGAAGAAUGCAAU
Sus scrofa (pig) is the source of this 2263-nucleotide long non-coding RNA. RefSeq lists it as uncharacterized. The record is from RefSeq and is a predicted model, not a curated record. Lineage: Eukaryota; Metazoa; Chordata; Mammalia; Artiodactyla; Suidae.